This 406-nucleotide ribosomal RNA is filed under the name uncultured bacterium. Its description in RNAcentral is "partial 16S ribosomal RNA". It matches the Rfam family "Bacterial small subunit ribosomal RNA", at positions 30 to 526 of the family's 1533-position model. The record is from RNAcentral.
AUUGAACGCUGGCGGCAGGCCUAACACAUGCAAGUCGAACGAGCGGCGGACGGGUGAGUAAUGUAUGGGGACCUGCCCGAUAUAGGGGGAUAACUACUGGAAACGGUGGCUAAUACCGCAUACUAUCCUAUGAACCCAUAUUGGAUUAGCUAGUAGGUGGGGUAAAGGCUCACCAAGGCGACGAUGCCUAGCUGGUCUGAGAGGAUGAUCAGCCACACUGGGACUGAGACACGGCCCAGACUCCUACGGGAGGCAGCAGUGGGGAAUAUUGCACAAUGGGCGCAAGCCUGAUGCAGCCAUGCCGCGUGUAUGAAGAAGGCCUUAGGGUUGUAAAGUACUGUCAGCGGGGAGGCGUUACCCGCAGAAGAAGCACCGGCUAACUCCGUGCCAGCAGCCGCGGUAAUUC